RNAcentral lists this ribosomal RNA (490 nucleotides) under uncultured bacterium. RNAcentral describes it as "partial 16S ribosomal RNA". It matches the Rfam family "Bacterial small subunit ribosomal RNA", at positions 28 to 523 of the family's 1533-position model. The record is from RNAcentral.
GAUGAACGUUGGCGGCAUGGAUUAGGCAUGCAAGUCGAGCGAGAAGGGUUUUGAAGCUUGCUUUAGAACCCGGAAAGCGGCGCAAGGGAGAGUAACGAGUAGUUAUCUACCCCAAGGCCCGGAAUAGCUGCGGGAAACUGCAGGUAAUGCCGGAUAAUAUCCCCGGAUCAAAGGUGUGAUUCCGCCUUGGGAGGAGACUGCUUUGUACUAGCUAGUUGGUAGGGUAAUGGCCUACCAAGGCUACGAUGCAUAGCGGGCGUGAGAGCGUGGCCCGUCUCACUGGGACUGAAACACUGCCCAGACACCUACGGGUGGCUGCAGUCGAGAAUCUUCGGCAAUGGGCGAAAGCCUGACCGAGCGAUGCCGCGUGCGGGAUGAAGGCCCUCGGGUUGUAAACCGCUGUCGUAGAGGAGAAAGGUCUGAUGAAGAAUCAGAUUUGAUCUAUUCUAGGAGGAAGUCGGGGCUAACUACAUGCCAGCAGCCGCCGUAA